Molecule: ribosomal RNA, 117 nt
Filed under: uncultured bacterium
Lineage: Bacteria
Description: partial 16S ribosomal RNA
Rfam family: Bacterial small subunit ribosomal RNA
Source: RNAcentral
CGUUCCCGGGUCUUGUACACACCGCCCGUCACACCACGAAAGUCGGCAACACCCGAAAGCCGGUGGCCUAACCCGCAAGGGAGGGAGCCGUCGAAGGUGGGGCUGGCGAUUGGGGUG